Molecule: small RNA, 77 nt
Filed under: Bacillus tuaregi
Lineage: Bacteria; Bacillati; Bacillota; Bacilli; Caryophanales; Bacillaceae
Source: RNAcentral
GCUACAACCGCUCGGAACAGGUAUUAAGAGUUUGUUAUUUUAGCAAAUCACCUGUGAAUGGCGAGUCUGAGUUUAUA